GACGAACGCUGGCGGCGUGCUUAACACAUGCAAGUCGAACGGAAAGGCCCUGCUUUUGUGGGGUGCUCGAGUGGCGAACGGGUGAGUAACACGUGAGUAACCUGCCCUUGACUUUGGGAUAACUUCAGGAAACUGGGGCUAAUACCGGAUAGGAGCUCCUGCUGCAUGGUGGGGGUUGGAAAGUUUCGGCGGUUGGGGAUGGACUCGCGGCUUAUCAGCUUGUUGGUGGGGUAGUGGCUUACCAAGGCUUUGACGGGUAGCCGGCCUGAGAGGGUGACCGGCCACAUUGGGACUGUGAUACGGCCCAGACUCCUACGGGAGGCAGCAGUGGGGAAUAUUGCACAAUGGGCGGAAGCCUGAUGCAGCAACGCCGCGUGCGGGAUGACGACCUUCGGGUUGUAAACCGCUUUCGCCUGUGACGAAGCGUGAGUGACGGUAAUGGGUAAAGAAGCACCGGCUAACUACGUG
Molecule: ribosomal RNA, 468 nt
Filed under: uncultured bacterium
Lineage: Bacteria
Description: partial 16S ribosomal RNA
Rfam family: Bacterial small subunit ribosomal RNA
Source: RNAcentral